AGAGUUUGAUCCUGGCUCAGAACGAACGCUGGCGGCGUGGUUCAGGCAUGCAAGUCGAACGAUCUCGCAAGAGAGAGUGGCAGAAGGGUUAGUAACACGUGGGUAAUCUACCCUCGGGGCGGGGAUAACAUCUCGAAAGAGAUGCUAAUACCCGAUGACAUUUCCGGAUCGCAUGGUUUGGAAAUCAAAGGUGGCUCGCAAGGGCUGCCGCCUGUGGAGGAGCCCGCGGCCUAUCAGCUAGUUGGUGAGGUAACGGCCCACCAAGGCUUUUGACGGGUAGCUGGUCUAAGAGGACGAUCAGCAACAUUGGGACUGAGACACUGCCCAGACUCCUACGGGAGGCUGCAGUCGAGGAUCUUUAGCAAUGCCCGAAAGGGUGACUAUGCGACGCCGCGUGCAGGAUGAAGGCCUUCGGGUUGUAAACUGCUGUCAGGGGGGAAGAAACCUUACGUGUGAAUAGCGCGUAAGCUGACAUCACCCCCAAAGAGCC
RNAcentral lists this ribosomal RNA (490 nucleotides) under uncultured Waddlia sp. RNAcentral's name for it is "bacterial SSU rRNA". It matches the Rfam family "Bacterial small subunit ribosomal RNA", at positions 8 to 491 of the family's 1533-position model. The record is from RNAcentral. Lineage: Bacteria; Pseudomonadati; Chlamydiota; Chlamydiia; Parachlamydiales; Waddliaceae.